RNAcentral lists this ribosomal RNA (784 nucleotides) under Acinetobacter baumannii. Its description in RNAcentral is "bacterial SSU rRNA". It matches the Rfam family "Bacterial small subunit ribosomal RNA", at positions 1 to 779 of the family's 1533-position model. The record is from RNAcentral. Lineage: Bacteria; Pseudomonadati; Pseudomonadota; Gammaproteobacteria; Moraxellales; Moraxellaceae.
UAACUGAAGAGUUUGAUCAUGGCUCAGAUUGAACGCUGGCGGCAGGCUUAACACAUGCAAGUCGAGCGGGGGAAGGUAGCUUGCUACUGGACCUAGCGGCGGACGGGUGAGUAAUGCUUAGGAAUCUGCCUAUUAGUGGGGGACAACAUCUCGAAAGGGAUGCUAAUACCGCAUACGUCCUACGGGAGAAAGCAGGGGAUCUUCGGACCUUGCGCUAAUAGAUGAGCCUAAGUCGGAUUAGCUAGUUGGUGGGGUAAAGGCCUACCAAGGCGACGAUCUGUAGCGGGUCUGAGAGGAUGAUCCGCCACACUGGGACUGAGACACGGCCCAGACUCCUACGGGAGGCAGCAGUGGGGAAUAUUGGACAAUGGGGGGAACCCUGAUCCAGCCAUGCCGCGUGUGUGAAGAAGGCCUUAUGGUUGUAAAGCACUUUAAGCGAGGAGGAGGCUACUUUAGUUAAUACCUAGAGAUAGUGGACGUUACUCGCAGAAUAAGCACCGGCUAACUCUGUGCCAGCAGCCGCGGUAAUACAGAGGGUGCGAGCGUUAAUCGGAUUUACUGGGCGUAAAGCGUGCGUAGGCGGCUUAUUAAGUCGGAUGUGAAAUCCCCGAGCUUAACUUGGGAAUUGCAUUCGAUACUGGUGAGCUAGAGUAUGGGAGAGGAUGGUAGAAUUCCAGGUGUAGCGGUGAAAUGCGUAGAGAUCUGGAGGAAUACCGAUGGCGAAGGCAGCCAUCUGGCCUAAUACUGACGCUGAGGUACGAAAGCAUGGGGAGCAAACAGGAUU